Molecule: ribosomal RNA, 1111 nt
Filed under: uncultured bacterium
Lineage: Bacteria
Description: bacterial SSU rRNA
Rfam family: Bacterial small subunit ribosomal RNA
Source: RNAcentral
GCAAGUCGAGCGAGAAGACGUAGCAAUACGUUUGUAAAGCGGCGAACGGGUGAGGAAUACAUGGGUAACCUACCCUCGAGUGGGGAAUAACUAGCCGAAAGGUUAGCUAAUACCGCAUACGACUCUUGGUCUGCGGAUUGAGAGGGAAAGCGAUACCGUGGGUAUCGCGCUCUUGGAUGGGCUCAUGUCCUAUCAGCUUGUUGGUGAGGUAAUGGCUCACCAAGGCUUCGACGGGUAGCUGGUCUGAGAGGACGAUCAGCCACACUGGCACUGCGACACGGGCCAGACUCCUACGGGAGGCAGCAGUAAGGAAUAUUGCGCAAUGGGCGACAGCCUGACGCAGCGACGCCGCGUGGGGGAUGAAGGUCUUCGGAUUGUAAACCCCUUUCGGCAGGGAAGAUGGAAUGGGUAACCAUUCGGACGGUACCUGCAGAAGCAGCCACGGCUAACUUCGUGCCAGCAGCCGCGGUAAUACGAAGGUGGCAAGCGUUGUUCGGAUUUACUGGGCGUACAGGGAGCGUAGGCGGUUGUGUAAGCCCUCCGUGAAAGCUUCGGGCCUAACCCGGAAAGUGCGGAGGGGACUGCUCGGCUAGAGGAUGGGAGAGGAGCGCGGAAUUCCCGGUGUAGCGGUGAAAUGCGUAGAGAUCGGGAGGAAGGCCGGUGGCGAAGGCGGCGCUCUGGAACAUUUCUGACGCUGAGGCUCGAAAGCGUGGGGAGCAAACAGGAUUAGAUACCCUGGUAGUCCACGCCUUAAACGAUGGAUACUAAGUGUCGGCGGGUUACCGCCGGUGCCGCAGCUAACGCAGUAAGUAUCCCGCCUGGGAAGUACGGCCGCAAGGUUGAAACUCAAGGAAUUGACAGGGGCCCGCACAAGCGGUGGAGCAUGUGGUUUAAUUCGACGCAACGCGAGAACCUUACCCAGCUGGACAUGCAGUAGUAGAAGGUGAAAGCCUAACGAGGUAGCAAUACCAUCCUGCUCAGUGCUGCAUGGCUGUCGUCAGCUCGUGCCGUGAGGUGUUGGGUUAAGUCCCGCACGAGCGCAACCCCUGUCUUCAGUUACCAACGGGUCAUGCCGGGAACUCUGGAAGACUGCCCCCGAGAACAGGAAGAG